This is a long non-coding RNA of Alosa sapidissima (American shad), 165 nucleotides long. RefSeq lists it as uncharacterized. The transcript is spliced from 3 exons. The record is from RefSeq and is a predicted model, not a curated record. NCBI's taxonomy places the organism in Eukaryota, Metazoa, Chordata, Actinopteri, Clupeiformes, Clupeidae.
GUACUUUGCCAUACAGGACAUCCUUACCUGAUUUUACAAAGAGAAUCUGGAAUGAAUAGAAGAUAAACAGUAUCCUCAUCAUGGUGACUCCUGUAUCAAUUGCUGCUCUCAGUUCCUCUGAUGGAAUGUUGUGCUUCCAGUAGUUACUUUCACCCGCAGGACUAU